RNAcentral lists this long non-coding RNA (1746 nucleotides) under Chrysemys picta bellii (western painted turtle). Its description in RNAcentral is "lncRNA (ENSCPBG00000028014.1)". The record is from RNAcentral. Lineage: Eukaryota; Metazoa; Chordata; Testudines; Emydidae.
GGCCCCACCCACCCCGCGGCGGCAGCAGCGGCAGCUCCGGAGCUGCAGGUGGCGCCGUGUGCCCCGAUCCCAGAACUGGGCGGGCCCUGCCGGCUCCGCGCUCUGAGGGUGCCGGGCGGGACUGCCGCGGCGCGUCCCCGGAGCUCUGGCUGCCUGAGCCGGGAGAGCGAGUGCUAGGCGGCCCGGCGGAGCGGGGCCCGGCAUGGGGCUCUGCCUGCCCUGCUUGGGGGGAGCCGCCGAGGACGUGGUGGAGACGCCCGACCCGGAAAUUAAAAGAAGACAACUUGCAGAAGCCGCAGAAAAGAGGCAGAUGGAGGCCACCUCUCGGGGUGUUAAGAACCCAUAUUCUGUGGAGCAAAAGAAAAAGAAACAGGAGGAAAUGGAGAAACAAAUUGCAUCUUCAAGCUCUGGAGGAGGAGGAGGCGGACUUAGAUGGCAGGUUGGAUAAAGAAGUGUGGCAUCUGAAAAGAAGAGGAUCAAAUACUGCCAAUAACUUGCCAGUUUCUGCAGCUGAGUGGCACUUAUUCAUUGUGUGGCUUUUGCUGUUUGCAUAUGAAGAUUCAACAGUACUUUGCCAUUGCAGUACAACAGAGGUGUAUGCUAAGAAUAUUUUUCACACAAAAGUCUCAGAAUGCAAAACAAAGGUGGCCAAAACUUGUCAUUUUUUAAACUUCUCAUGCUUCAACUUUUGGGUCGGGUGGAGAGUGGGAGAUGCACAGUUAUUUGGGAAUGAACUUAGUAUUUAAUGGUGAUAAAGUGACUAUAUUAUAUUUCUGCUCUUGAAACUAACUUAUGCACAGCUUGGGUAACUUUUAGUGUGUGGGUUUUUCUUUUUGUUUUAGCAUUUAUUUAAAGUUUUGUUGAACUUUGCCUCUUUGUAAAAAAAAAAAAAAAGAAGUUAUCUUCUCUAGAUACUUGUGCUGCUAUCCAUCUCUUCUGUGCUAAUUAUUGGUUAAUUACCUGUGAAUUUAGUGCCUUUAAAAGGCUUUUGGAAAAGCUUGGCUUCUGCAAAUUGAAAUUUUGUGAAAUGUGCUGUAAAAAAAAAAUCACUUUAAAUUAUAAUUGCUUUACAUGCUUUUAUUGAGGUAAAUAUUUUGUGGUCUUAUGCCCAUUCUCUUUUCAUUGAUUCGCCAAUUAUGGAUUUCUUUUGAGUACAUAAUUAUAUUAUAAUAUGUACUGGAAGUUAAUGCUAUUAGCUAAACUAAACAUUGUUGGCUAUUUUGUUUUUUUGCACCACAAGGGGGCAGUGUUGUACUUCUGGAAAUAUAUUAAAAAAUAGAAAAGGAAAAGACCUAUUAGGUCAUCUCUUGGAUAGUUUAUUUCCUGAAAGCUUCUGUACUACCUGGGUGGCUUAACUAUAUAUAGUACAAUAAUAUUUGCCAAGUGCUAGAAGCACUUUUACUGCUCUUUUGUAUCAAGGAAUGUCUGUAAUCCUUUUCCAAAUGUGAAACUGCUUUUGAUUAUUUACAGCUAACUAAACUGGUGUAUUAUGAACUGAUUCCAAAACUAGAAGUGACCUCAGAACACUACUGAGUAGAUGAGGGAAUUUAGAAGUGAUCCUGUUCCAGUAAAAAUACAACUUUUAUUUUCCCUGGAGGGCACUAUGUUUGGCCUAUUAUUGUCCUAGUGACUCCAUUUUUGACGCAGGUUGGACUGUGGAAGUGUUACUUGGAUUAAAUACACUAUCUUUUCCCCUUGAAUCCAAAACUAUCAUCUUAAGUCCACUUUCUUGAAAGAACUAGCUUC